AAUGGAGAUAAAUUUGCAGCUAGUGUGAAUAAUAUAAGUUUUGUUAUGCCUCGUAUUGACAUACUUGAAGCUUAUUAUAAGCAGAUAAAUGGGAUUUAUGGAGAUGAAUUUCCUAGUGUUCCACCUUUGAUAUUCAACUAUACAGGGGAUUCAUUACCUGUGGAAUUUCAAAGAGUUGAUAGGAGAACAGAAGUGCAUGUUCUUGAAUAUGGAUCAACGGUGGAAAUUGACAUACUUGAAGCUUAUUAUAAGGAGAUUAAUGGGAUUUAUGGAGAUGAUUUUCCUAGUGUUCCACCUUUGCAAUUCAACUACACUGGGGAUUCAUUACCUGUUGAAUUUCAAAGAGUUGAUAGGAAAACAGAAGUGCAUGUUCUUGAAUAUGGAUCAAGGGUGGAGAUUGUUUUGCAGGGGACUAAUCUAUUGGGUGGAGUU
This 432-nucleotide long non-coding RNA is filed under the name Nicotiana benthamiana. Its description in RNAcentral is "long non-coding RNA (NBEN_LNC006136)". The record is from RNAcentral. Lineage: Eukaryota; Viridiplantae; Streptophyta; Magnoliopsida; Solanales; Solanaceae.